GACGAACGCUGGCGGCGUGCUUAACACAUGCAAGUCGAACGGUGACCCAGGGCUUGCCCUGGUGAUCAGUGGCGAACGGGUGAGUAACACGUGGGCAACCUGCCCCUGACUUCGGGAUAACUCCUCGAAAGAGGAGCUAAUACCGGAUACGACCACUUCGGACAUCCGAUGGUGGUGGAAAGUUUUUCGGUCAGGGAUGGGCCCGCGGCCUAUCAGCUAGUUGGUGGGGUAAUGGCCUACCAAGGCGACGACGGGUAGCCGGCCUGAGAGGGCGACCGGCCACACUGGGACUGAGACACGGCCCAGACUCCUACGGGAGGCAGCAGUGGGGAAUAUUGCGCAAUGGGCGAAAGCCUGACGCAGCGACGCCGCGUGAGGGAUGAAGGCCUUCGGGUUGUAAACCUCUUUCUAGCAGGGACGAAGCGAAAGUGACGGUACCUGCAGAAGAAGCACCGGCUAACUACGUGCCAGCAGCCGCGGUAAU
Molecule: ribosomal RNA, 484 nt
Filed under: uncultured bacterium
Lineage: Bacteria
Description: bacterial SSU rRNA
Rfam family: Bacterial small subunit ribosomal RNA
Source: RNAcentral